CAGUAGCCGCGGUAAUACGUAGGGAGCAAGCGUUGUUCGGAUUUACUGGGCGUAAAGGGCGCGUAGGCGGCGCGGUAAGUCACUUGUGAAAUCUCUGAGCUUAACUCAGAACGGCCAAGUGAUACUGCUGUGCUAGAGUGCGGAAGAGGCAACCGGAAUUCUUGGUGUAGCGGUGAAAUGCGUAGAUAUCAAGAGGAACACCUGAGGCGAAGGCGACUAUCUGGGCCAACACUGACACUGAGGCACGAAGGCGUGGGGAGCAAACAGGAUUAGAUACCCGUGUAGUCCCUGUCUCUUAUAC
RNAcentral lists this ribosomal RNA (301 nucleotides) under uncultured bacterium. RNAcentral's name for it is "partial 16S ribosomal RNA". It matches the Rfam family "Bacterial small subunit ribosomal RNA", at positions 509 to 807 of the family's 1533-position model. The record is from RNAcentral.